This 886-nucleotide ribosomal RNA is filed under the name Neopestalotiopsis egyptiaca. RNAcentral's name for it is "LSU rRNA". It matches the Rfam family "Eukaryotic large subunit ribosomal RNA", at positions 49 to 961 of the family's 3401-position model. The record is from RNAcentral. Lineage: Eukaryota; Fungi; Ascomycota; Sordariomycetes; Amphisphaeriales; Sporocadaceae.
AGCGGAGGAAAAGAAACCAACAGGGAUUGCCUAGUAACGGCGAGUGAAGCGGCAACAGCUCAAAUUUGAAAUCUGGCCCUUGGGUCCGAAUUGUAAUUUGUAGAGGAUGAUUUUGGUGCGGUAUCUUCCGAGUUCCUUGGAACAGGACGCCUUAGAGGGUGAGAGCCCCGUACGGUUGAAUGCCUAGCCUCUGUAAAUCUCCUUCGACGAGUCGAGUAGUUUGGGAAUGCUGCUCUAAAUGGGAGGUAAAUUUCUUCUAAAGCUAAAUAUUGGCCAGAGACCGAUAGCGCACAAGUAGAGUGAUCGAAAGAUGAAAAGCACUUUGAAAAGAGGGUUAAAUAGCACGUGAAAUUGUUGAAAGGGAAGGAUUUGUGACCAGACUUUUUCUGGGCGGAUCAUCCGGGGUUCUCUCCGGUGCACUUCGCCCAGUAAAGGCCAGCAUCGGUUUUCGGCGUGGGAUAAAAGCAGUAGGAAUGUGGCUCUCUACGGGGAGUGUUAUAGCCUAUUGUAUAAUACCGCGCUGGGGACCGAGGUUCGCGCUUCUGCAAGGAUGCUGGCGUAAUGGUUAUCAAUCACCCGUCUUGAAACACGGACCAAGGAGUCGAACAUUUGUGCGAGUGUUUGGGUGUUAAACCCUCACGCGUAAUGAAAGUGAACGGAGGUGAGAGCCCUUACGGGUGCAUCAUCGACCGAUCCUGAAGUUUUCGGAUGGAUUUGAGUAAGAGCAUAACUGUUCGGACCCGAAAGAUGGUGAACUAUGCGUGGAUAGGGUGAAGCCAGAGGAAACUCUGGUGGAGGCUCGCAGCGGUUCUGACGUGCAAAUCGAUCGUCAAAUCUGCGCAUGGGGGCGAAAGACUAAUCGAACCAUCUAGUAGCUGGUUACCGC